Molecule: microRNA, 22 nt
Filed under: Panagrellus redivivus
Lineage: Eukaryota; Metazoa; Nematoda; Chromadorea; Rhabditida; Panagrolaimidae
Description: prd-miR-76-5p
Gene: prd-miR-76-5p
Source: miRBase by way of RNAcentral
CCAGGUUUUUGGGCAACGACUG